AGCUUUCUGAAUCUGUGUAGAGAUUUCGUCAGACACCAACGCAUUAGGGCUGAUCAGACUUUCAAGAUAAGUGGAGUU
Molecule: non-coding RNA, 78 nt
Organism: Schistosoma mattheei
Lineage: Eukaryota; Metazoa; Platyhelminthes; Trematoda; Strigeidida; Schistosomatidae
Source: Rfam